UAUGAUGAUGACAUUUUCUAUCUAUGUGUCUUGACCAAAUCGCGUGCCAGCAGUCGCGGUAAUACGUGGAAGACUAGUGUUAUUCAUCUUUAAUUGGUUUAAAGGGUACCUAGACGGUCUAUUAAGCCCCUAAAUGGUACUAAUAGACUAGAGUUUAAUGGGAAGGGGGGAGUACUAAAGAGUGUAGAGAUGAAAUUCUGUCAUACCUGACUUGGAACAGGCAACGGCGAAAGCAACCCCUUAUGUAAAAACUGACGUUGAAGGACGAAGGCUUGGGACACCAACAGGAUUAGAUACCCCAGCAGUCCUUGCAGACAAUGAUGAAUGUCAUAGAUUAGAGUUAAAUAUCUUUUAUUUUUAUAAACGGUCUGGAAUAGAUUCAAAAAUUGAAAAAGGUACCAAAUUAUGGCUAAUAAAAGAUAUUUUUUUUGUCUAUAAAUGAAAGUGUAAGCAUUCCACCUCAAGAGUAAUGUGGCAACGCAGAAACUGAAAUCAUUAGACCGUUUCUGAAACCAGUAGUGAAGUAUGUUGUUUAAUUUGAUGGUCCGCAAAACACCUUACCACAAUUUGAAUAUUUCUAUAUAUGUAGAAAUACAAGCGUUGCACGGCUGUCUUCAGUUAAUGUCGUGAGAUUUUGGUUAGUUCCAUAAAAUUAACGUAAACCCUUACUUUAUUUUUAUUAUAGAGUAGUUCACCGCUAUAUUGGAUAAGAUAAAAGGGACCAAGACAAGUCAAUAUGGCCUUAAUAUUGUG
This 753-nucleotide ribosomal RNA is filed under the name Xylographa constricta. Its description in RNAcentral is "SSU rRNA". It matches the Rfam family "Bacterial small subunit ribosomal RNA", at positions 462 to 1211 of the family's 1533-position model. Lineage: Eukaryota; Fungi; Ascomycota; Lecanoromycetes; Baeomycetales; Xylographaceae. The record is from RNAcentral.